GUGUACCGGAAGGUGCCCCUGGAAAGUUCNAAGUGGAGCUUGAUUAGUUAAGCAUUUCAUUUACACUGAAAAGUCACUGUGCGAUUCAGUUUACUUUGAUAAAGAUUUAUUUACUGAUAGUUUUUAAGAAAAGGUUAUUUUUAAUAAAAUCAUUUUUAUGUAGAUGUGUUUAUGUAUAGGAUAUAGAUAAAAUUUAAAGAGUGGUAGUUAAUUAGUAUUGUGAAAGAUUAUUGAAAUAUAAUGAAAAAUUAUUUAUUUAAAAGUAGGUUUAAUUUACCGUACCUUGUGUAUCAGGGUUUAUUAAAAUAUUAAUGAUGAUUAAUCAUUAAUCCCGAUUUAAAGAGAGCUAAUUAGGUGUGUUAGUUAAUGUGGAAUAAUUAUUAAUAACACUUAAUUAGUAAUGAAACGUUAUCCGUUCUUUAAGAUAUCUGGUUUUUUAAGAAAUGAAUUUAAUUCAGGUAGUAUUUUUUUUUUAUUAAUUUUAGUAUUAGAAGUUAAUAGUAAUUAUUACUAAUAUAUUGGGGGAUGAGCUUCAGUAUAUUUUUAUAAAAGUUAAUUGGUUUAAAAAUGUUGUAGGCUUAGAGUUAGCCAUCGAUAAAAGGAUGUUAUAAUUUAUAUUUUGUUAAAACGAUUUUCAAGUUAUUUAAAUUUUACAUUAAAAUGUUAUUUAUAAUUAUAGAAAUAUAGUAAUGAUGAUGAAAUUAGUAUAAAAGUUGUUAGUGAUUUUAAUUUAAUGUAAGGUUACAUUAAGGAACUAGGCAAAUUAAUGCUCGCCUGUUUAACAAAAACAUGUCUUCUUGUGAAUAAUUUGAAGUCUGACCUGCCCACUGAUUAAUUUAUUGAAGGGCCGCGGUAUAUUGACCGUGCAAAGGUAGCAUAAUCAUUAGUCUUUUUAUUGAAGGCUUGUAUGAAUGGUUGGACGAGGUAUUGACUGUCUCUGUGUAGAUGAUAAUAGAAUUUAACAUUUAAGUUAAAAGGCUUAAUUGUAUUAAAG
This 994-nucleotide ribosomal RNA is filed under the name Leuctra armata. RNAcentral's name for it is "partial large subunit ribosomal RNA". The record is from RNAcentral. Lineage: Eukaryota; Metazoa; Arthropoda; Insecta; Plecoptera; Leuctridae.